GUAUGCCAGCUGUUGUACUGGUACGACUGUACUUUUCAAGAUACUAUACUGAUGCAUGUGACGCAGUGCCUGGUACACUGGAGGACCUGGGAAAGGUGGUCUUGAGCGGGUUUCUAAGAACUGACGGUCAAGUAAUUACCACCUAAGGUCUCGCUGACAUAUUUCAACCCUCCUUACUCUUCUCAUCACCCAGGCCAGGCAGGGUCACUGUAUAUGUGCUAGCUUGUUUCCAAAGAUGGCUGCCGUCAUCAAUGCAUUCCCCUCUGUUCUGGAAGCAGCUCAUACCAACUCUCCAGAGCCGAUAGCGGGCAUUUCCUCCCAGCUCUGUGUUAAGUGACAUCAUAUUGAUAGCUUGAGAUCAGCCACGGUGGUAAAUAUUAUCGAUCAGGGCUUUUCUUUCCCCAGACAUCUGGUUAUUCAACAUUUACCAGUGUACCACUGUGUAUAUAUACGCCCACGGCCAACUUCAUGGACGAGCAAUCUUAAUAAUUUUAUGUUUGAGAUUGUGUUUUGUCAGUGAAGUCUGAUGGGCCGAUAGAACAUCACGUGACGAGAGGAAAUACAUACAAGAUAUGUGUCCACCAUUUCUUAUUGCCCCGUUAGCCUUGGGGUUCACGAUGCCCCAUGAGCACAGAAUUCUGGGGAACCCACAAGGCAUGGGAGUUCAGUGAGACUCAAGGCGAAUGCAAAGUGAGUAUGUGAUAUCUACAGCUGAGUAAGCGGGGGAGCUGACAGCCCUAAGAGGCCAUGCUUUCCAUUUGAAACAGUCUUUGCUCCAGAUGCAGAAAGAAAGUCCUGGCGUUUGAAGAAACACAAACGACCAAGGAGCCCUAUCAUAUUCCUUCUUGCGUCACUUCCGUGUCAGCCAACCACUCACAAUGAAAAUGGUGAUGUACGUAGAAGAAAAGGGAAAGACAAGGCACCUCGGAGUUCCUUUUCUUUCACUCCUUCCCCUUCCUUGUUUAUCAGUGAGCAGAAGGUAGAGUGCUGGCAGAAUGCGCGCGUAUCAAGUAAAACAGUUGAGUUCGUUUUGUGCAGCGUUUCCUCUGCUCUGCUAAGAACGAAAUACAUAUGGGUGUACAAGCUUCGAAACACAAAUUGUGUAAUUUCACCGAUUCUGCAUGAGUCCAAUGCUCUUACAUUUGCACGUAAAACUGACAUUGCACAAGAUAUAGAUAAAUGGUAAAUUCAUGUUAAUAAUUUAAAUUUUUCUUUACUUAGAACUACAUUAAAUAGAAAAUUUUAAAACACCAUGACAGGUCAAGGGAAAGACCCUGAGAGAAAGGAGAAAAGCUUUAUAUUUAAGUAUCGGUAACAGCACUUUUUCCUGGUUUUUCGAACAAGGGGCCCUACGUUUUUAUUUUGCGCUCGGCUCCACAAAUUGCGGAGUGGAGCCGGCCAUGUCCAUUCCAUUCCCCACUGAGGGGCUGAGUCUAUUCCUUCACCUCCUGAAUCUAGGUGACCUGUGACUGCUUUGACCAGUAGAGUUCCAUAGACGUGAGCUUUGCUGGUUGUACCCUUUACCUUUAACAGAACUGGAGGUUUCCACUUCCUGCCUCUUAGAGCCCUGAGCCACCGGGAAAGAAGUCCAGGCUACUCUGCUAGAGAGAGACGUCAUGUGCGAGAGUACUGGGGCACCAGACGCAUGAAUGCAGAAGACACCUUGAAGGUUCAGUGCAGUCGAGCCUUCAGAUGACCCCAGCCCCAGCUGCAUUCUAAAUGCAACCUUGUGAGAGACCCCAGGCAAAAACCACCACAGGAUCAUGAGCGAUAAUAAUAAACUGUUGUUUAA
Long non-coding RNA from Delphinapterus leucas (beluga whale), 1792 nucleotides. RefSeq lists it as uncharacterized. NCBI's taxonomy places the organism in Eukaryota, Metazoa, Chordata, Mammalia, Artiodactyla, Monodontidae. The record is from RefSeq and is a predicted model, not a curated record.